RNAcentral lists this transfer RNA (71 nucleotides) under Sphaerodactylus townsendi. RNAcentral's name for it is "tRNA-Ala". The record is from RNAcentral. Lineage: Eukaryota; Metazoa; Chordata; Lepidosauria; Squamata; Sphaerodactylidae.
GGCAUAAAACUCACAGGUAGAGCCUCUGCGUGGCAUGCAGACGGUCCCAGGUUCGAUUCCUGGGAUCUCCA